This 256-nucleotide ribosomal RNA is filed under the name uncultured bacterium. RNAcentral describes it as "partial 16S ribosomal RNA". It matches the Rfam family "Bacterial small subunit ribosomal RNA", at positions 524 to 776 of the family's 1533-position model. The record is from RNAcentral.
UACGUAGGGUGCAAGCGUUAAUCGGAAUUACUGGCGUAAAGCGCACGUGGGCGGAUAUUUAAGUCAGGGGUGAAAUCCCAGAGCUCAACUCUGGAACUGCCUUUGAUACUGGGUAUCUCGAGUAUGGAAGAGGUGAGUGGAAUUCCGAGUGAUAGAGGUAGAAAUUCGUAGAUAUUCGGAGGAACACCAGUGGCGAAGGCGGCGACCUGGGCCGAAUAUUGACGCUGAGGUGACGAAAGCGUGGGGAGCAAACAGG